This 301-nucleotide unclassified non-coding RNA is filed under the name plant metagenome. RNAcentral's name for it is "partial contains 5.8S ribosomal RNA, internal transcribed spacer 2, and large subunit ribosomal RNA". The stretch from base 1 to 105 matches the Rfam family "5.8S ribosomal RNA", at positions 50 to 154 of the family's 154-position model. The record is from RNAcentral.
GAAAUGCGAUAAGUAGUGUGAAUUGCAGAAUUCAGUGAAUCAUCGAAUCUUUGAACGCACAUUGCGCCCUAUGGUAUUCCGUAGGGCAUGCCUGUUCGAGCGUCAUUUACACCUUCAAGCCUUGCUUGGUGUUGGGUGACUGUGGCCCCUUUGGGGCCACUCGCCUUAAAGUCAUUGGCGGCCGGUUCGUUGGCUUUGUAGCGCAGCACAAUUGCGUCCUCGAAGCCGCUGGACCAGCUCCCAGAAGCUAAUUUUAAAUGUUUGACCCCGAAUCAGGUAGGGAUACCCGCUGAACUUAAGC